Molecule: ribosomal RNA, 403 nt
Filed under: Verrucomicrobiota bacterium
Lineage: Bacteria; Pseudomonadati; Verrucomicrobiota
Description: Verrucomicrobia bacterium partial 16S ribosomal RNA
Rfam family: Bacterial small subunit ribosomal RNA
Source: RNAcentral
UGGGGAAUAUUGCACAAUGGGGGAAACCCUGAUGCAGCGACGCCGCGUGAGCGAAGAAGGUUUUCGAAUCGUAAAGCUCUGUCCUAUGAGAAGAUAAUGACGGAAUCAUAGGAGGAAGCCCCGGCUAAAUACGUGCCAGCAGCCGCGGUAAUACGUAUGGGGCGAGCGUUGUCCGGAAUUAUUGGGCGUAAAGGGUACGUAGGCGGUCUAUUAAGUCAGGUGUGAAAGCGUGAGGCUUAACCUCAUUAAGCACUUGAAACUGAUAGACUUGAGUGAAGGAGAGGAAAGUGGAAUUCCUAGUGUAGCGGUGAAAUGCGUAGAUAUUAGGAGGAAUACCGGUGGCGAAGGCGACUUUCUGGACUUUUACUGACGCUCAGGUACGAAAGCGUGGGGAGCAAACAGG